Molecule: ribosomal RNA, 253 nt
Filed under: uncultured bacterium
Lineage: Bacteria
Description: partial 16S ribosomal RNA
Rfam family: Bacterial small subunit ribosomal RNA
Source: RNAcentral
UACGUAGGUGGCAAGCGUUGUCCGGAUUUACUGGGUGUAAAGGGCGUGUAGCCGGGCUGACAAGUCAGAUGUGAAAUUCCGGGGCUCAACCCCGGACCUGCAUUUGAAACUGUUGGUCUUGAGUAUCGGAGAGGCAGGCGGAAUUCCUAGUGUAGCGGUGAAAUGCGUAGAUAUUAGGAGGAACACCAGUGGCGAAGGCGGCCUGCUGGACGACAACUGACGGUGAGGCGCGAUAGCGUGGGGAGCAAACAGG